Molecule: long non-coding RNA, 97 nt
Organism: Lingula anatina
Lineage: Eukaryota; Metazoa; Brachiopoda; Lingulata; Lingulida; Lingulidae
Source: RefSeq, a predicted model, not a curated record
CUUGGACCUGAGGUCACACUCUUAACUUGAACUCCUAGGUUUUAGACUCUGUCGAUGCAUUUGUAUAGUUCGAAAUGCACCCUUGUCACAUUUUUUU